AACCCUUUUUUUAACUCCGCCAAUACAACUCCUUGCAUUGCCGGUCCCAAGCCUGGGUAAAGGAGGAGGGAGAAGGGCUUUAGAAUGAGAUCGUUAACUAUGGAGGAGAUCUUGAAAAUGCAGUGGAUGUUGCAUGUGGGAGGAUUGGAGCUGCAUAUUUCAGAUUCAAGCAUUUGGUUUUCAGGUGAGAUGAACGAGUUUCAAAACAAAACAGUCUGCGGUUUUGAGAAGCGAUUCCCAGGAUAUAUGUGUGUUUCAGGGGCCAUUUGCACCUUGGAAGCAUACAAUGGAAGG
Long non-coding RNA from Magnolia sinica, 294 nucleotides. RefSeq lists it as uncharacterized. The record is from RefSeq and is a predicted model, not a curated record. The transcript has 3 exons. NCBI's taxonomy places the organism in Eukaryota, Viridiplantae, Streptophyta, Magnoliopsida, Magnoliales, Magnoliaceae.